This 253-nucleotide ribosomal RNA is filed under the name uncultured bacterium. Its description in RNAcentral is "partial 16S ribosomal RNA". It matches the Rfam family "Bacterial small subunit ribosomal RNA", at positions 524 to 776 of the family's 1533-position model. The record is from RNAcentral.
UACGAAGGGGGCUAGCGUUGUUCGGAAUUACUGGGCGUAAAGCGCACGUAGGCGGACUACUAAGUCAGGGGUGAAAUCCCGGGGCUCAACCCCGGAACUGCCUUUGAUACUGAUAGUCUCGAGUCCGGAAGAGGUGAGUGGAAUUCCGAGUGUAGAGGUGAAAUUCGUAGAUAUUCGGAGGAACACCAGUGGCGAAGGCGGCUCACUGGUCCGGUACUGACGCUGAGGUGCGAAAGCGUGGGGAGCGAACAGG